RNAcentral lists this ribozyme (156 nucleotides) under Anopheles sinensis. RNAcentral's name for it is "drz-agam-2-2 ribozyme". It matches the Rfam family "drz-agam-2-2 ribozyme", at positions 32 to 191 of the family's 191-position model. Lineage: Eukaryota; Metazoa; Arthropoda; Insecta; Diptera; Culicidae. The record is from Rfam by way of RNAcentral.
UCAACGUCUCGUAGUUCAAAUGGCACCCCUCCCCAGCUCUUACUCAAUACGUACGCGACGUACAAAACUGUAACUUUUCGCCUAGAUAUCCAUGCUUGGGUACACGGGGAAACAUACCCCCUUGGGCGGAUGGGCGGCAAGGCCGAAUUGAGAAGG